ACUCCUACGGGAGGCAGCAGUGGGGAAUAUUGCACAAUGGGGGAAACCCUGAUCCAGCCAUGCCGCGUGAGUGAUGAAGGCCCUAGGGUCGUAAAGCUCUUUCGCCUGUGAAGAUAAUGACUGUAGCAGGUAAAGAACCCCGGCUAACCCGUGCCAGCAGCCGCGGUAAUACGGAGGGGUUAGCGUUGUUCGGAAUUACUGGGCGUAAAGCGCGCGUAGGCGGACUGGAAAGUUGGGGUGAAAUCCCAGGGCUCAACCCUGGAACUGCCUCCAAAACUAAUCAGUCUAGAGUUCGAGAGAGGUGAGUGGAAUUCCGAGUGUAGAGGUGAAAUUCGUAGAUAUUCGGAGGAACACCAGUGGCGAAGGCGGCUCACUGGCUCGAUACUGACGCUGAGGUGC
RNAcentral lists this ribosomal RNA (399 nucleotides) under uncultured bacterium. Its description in RNAcentral is "bacterial SSU rRNA". It matches the Rfam family "Bacterial small subunit ribosomal RNA", at positions 335 to 754 of the family's 1533-position model. The record is from RNAcentral.